RNAcentral lists this ribosomal RNA (266 nucleotides) under Shigella sonnei. RNAcentral's name for it is "partial 16S ribosomal RNA". It matches the Rfam family "Bacterial small subunit ribosomal RNA", at positions 56 to 318 of the family's 1533-position model. Lineage: Bacteria; Pseudomonadati; Pseudomonadota; Gammaproteobacteria; Enterobacterales; Enterobacteriaceae. The record is from RNAcentral.
UGCAAGUCGAACGGUAACAGGAAACAGCUUGCUGUUUCGCUGACGAGUGGCGGACGGGUGAGUAAUGUCUGGGAAACUGCCUGAUGGAGGGGGAUAACUACUGGAAACGGUAGCUAAUACCGCAUAAUGUCGCAAGACUAAAGAGGGGGACCUUCGGGCCUCUUGCCAUCGGAUGUGCCCAGAUGGGAUUAGCUAGUAGGUGGGGUAACGGCUCACCUAGGCGACGAUCCCUAGCUGGUCUGAGAGGAUGACCAGCCACACUGGAA